This 253-nucleotide ribosomal RNA is filed under the name uncultured bacterium. RNAcentral describes it as "partial 16S ribosomal RNA". It matches the Rfam family "Bacterial small subunit ribosomal RNA", at positions 524 to 776 of the family's 1533-position model. The record is from RNAcentral.
UACAGAGGGCCCGAGCGUUGUUCGGAUUCACUGGGCGUAAAGGGUGCGUAGGUGGUGCGGCAAGUCGGAUGUGAAAUCUCCGAGCUCAACUCGGAAAUGGCAUUGGAAACUACCUUGCUCGAGGGUUGGAGGGGGGACUGGAAUACUUGGUGUAGCAGUGAAAUGCGUAGAUAUUCGCAAGAACACCAGUGGCGAAGGCGGAUCUCUGGGCCAUUACUGACGCUGAGGAGCGAAAGCGUGGGGAGCGAACAGG